This 87-nucleotide ribosomal RNA is filed under the name Atlantibacter hermannii. Lineage: Bacteria; Pseudomonadati; Pseudomonadota; Gammaproteobacteria; Enterobacterales; Enterobacteriaceae. The record is from RNAcentral.
CCUGGCGGCAAGAGCGCGGUGGUCCCACCUGACCCCAUGCCGAACUCAGAAGUGAAACGCCGUAGCGCCGAUGGUAGUGUGGGGUCU